GUUCUUUACAAAUUGGAUUAAGGAGGGAUGGAACUUGAUUUCUCUGACAUCAGCGGGUUCUUUCUCCCUGUGCAGUGACUCCCAAAGAUUACCAGCCCCCAGGCUUUAAGGAGGAUGGCAGCCCCGGUGACCUCUUUUUUGAUGGCGAACCUGUCAACCUGAGAGUAGGGUCAGUCUCCACUGGCUUCCACCUCAUGAAAGUGAGAGUGACAACUGAAAAGAAAAGAAUGGGGACAGUUGGAAGCAACCUGAUCCAGAAGAAUGGACCUACUGAGAUCUCCCAUCAAGGGUUAGACUGUGAUGAAGAGGAAGAGGAGGGGAACACAAAGAAUCACCCUCUACCUGUCAGAGCAGAUUCAAGUGAGCAUGGAGAGGGGAAAAGUGACACCCAUCCAGGCUGGAAAACAGAAGCAUCUUCUUUUUACCUUCAAGAUACAGGUGGAGAGAAGAUGACAGGGAUAAAGGAGACAGGCAGGAUGUCUUGCUCAAGGGCAUCUCAAAAGAUAAGCUGCCUGAACCUUGCGUUUAGCCAGGAAGAGGUAAUAGGACCCAAGAAGAAAAGGAAGGUCAGUGAACCAGAGAAGCUGCUUCUGGAAGGCAGGAAAUGAUGUUCAUUCUGACACACAAUACAUUUUGGAAGGUGUGACUUUGCAUUGUCAUCUGACUAGUAAAGACCUUUUACUGUCUUCCAAUAUUUAACCCUUCCCCAUACUGCCUGUAUUUCUGCAUGUUUAUGUGUCUAGUGCAAACUUUGGAUUGCGAAGAGUCAGCAAGGGCCAUAAUUGUCAUGACAAUGUCGACCAACAGCACUUGUUUGAUGUUCUAAAGUUGAGGAUUUGUGAUUCCACAUGUAUGGUGUCUGUGUGCUUCUCUCCGUCUCUCUCACCCCCCUCCACCCGCACUCCCUGGCUAAAGUUCCUUCUCUGUGGCUGGACUGUCCUGCGCCAAUAUGCCAUCAAUAUCUGAUGGCACUGUUUCAAGAAGAACUCUCUGAGGUACCAACGCCAGCAAGCAACAAGUCUCAUGAUUCACUAGAUUGUGCUUAACUUCAUCCUAUCUACUGUUUCCGGAGCAUAGAUUUUUUUUUUUUAGAAGGGUUUUUAUCUAUAUUCAAUACAGAGAUAAAGUAAUCUGUACACAUUUUCUGCUGGUGCUGAAUUUUUUUUUUCUGACUCUGCAAGUAGUGUUGCUAUGACUAUAUUAUCAGCUUAUUUCUAAAACAGCAACCCACCAUGUGCAAAGUGGCUUAGGCA
Molecule: long non-coding RNA, 1253 nt
Filed under: Calidris pygmaea (Spoon-billed sandpiper)
Lineage: Eukaryota; Metazoa; Chordata; Aves; Charadriiformes; Scolopacidae
Description: lncRNA (ENSCPGG00000008468.1)
Source: RNAcentral